UACGGAGGGUGCAAGCAUUAAUCGGAUUUAUUGGGCGUAAAGGGCGCGUAGGCGGGUUUGUAAGUCAGAUGUGAAAUUCCGAAGCUCAACUUCGGAGCUGCAUUUGAAACUGCAAGUCUAGGGGAGUGGCGGAGAAAAUGGAAUUCCACGUGUAGCGGUGAAAUGCGUAGAUAUGUGGAAGAACGCCAGUGGCGAAAGCGGUUUUCUAGCUUAUUCCUGACGCUGAGGCGCGAGAGCAAGGGGAGCAAACAGG
Molecule: ribosomal RNA, 253 nt
Filed under: uncultured bacterium
Lineage: Bacteria
Description: partial 16S ribosomal RNA
Rfam family: Bacterial small subunit ribosomal RNA
Source: RNAcentral